CGCCGACAGACACACCGACACGCCGACGGACACACCGACACGCCGACGGACUCACUGACUGACCGACCGCCGACGGCCGUGCCGGCCCCCGAGCGCGAUGCGGCGCCUCCGCAUUUGAAGUGAUUUAGAGCAAACAAGGGUGCAGCGAGAGCAGGAGACAACCCAGCACAAAACCUCUGCGGGAGCCCUGCGGCUCCGGCUCUUCCCUCCCGGUUCGAGGAUCCGGAGCACAGCAAAGCCUCUCCCAAAAGCAUCGCCCGGCCCUCGCUGGGGUCACUGCAGCGCCGAGGCCGCUUCUUCCCAGCGCCCCGCAGCCCCCGGGGUGAGUGGGGGGACUCUCCCCUGCUUUGCUGCCCAAAAUAUUCCGUCCUUGGGGUGGCUGAAAUGGGGAAUCAGAGCAGAGUGCUAUUUGUAAAUUUAAAAAAAAGCAAGGUGUACUUGAUUAGGAAAUUAAUUAUUUCAGUACCCCCAGGAUUAUAUUGUUUUUCUAAGUUGUGUGGGCCUGUGUAAUUCAGUAAUUUCACAGUGGCUGAACUUCCCUGGGAGUGAGAGUCAAUCUCCCCUCUCUGACACUCGGGUGGAUCCUGCGCGGAGCCAGCGGCUCCUCGGCAGCGUCGGAGGGAAAUGGGAGCCCAGACCUUUCCCUCUGCUCCUCACUGCCCUGCUGCGUGUCCCUGGCCAAAUUCCUCGUUUCUGCUCUUUCCUUCCCCCCAGGAGCAGCUCUCCCUGCUGAGGAAGGAGCAGCACACGGGCUGCUCUGCCCGACGCCCGUAGGGAAAAAGGGCUGCAGCAUCACACGUCCUUCCCAAGUGAGGAUUCUCAGCACAGAAGGGCUUUUGUCAUCAGCAGAAUAUAAGUUUUUGGUGCUGACAUCACUGUCACGCAGAAGGUUUGGGAAAAAUAACUGAAAUCCAAGCAAACAGGACUGUGGCAGAAAAAUGCAGAUGCAGGGGCAGAGCUGGGUUCAGCAUCACCUGGCUCAGGUACCACGGCACCAGCCUCCCCUCCCAGGUGCCAGCGAGUCCAGAGCUCCUGGCUGUGUUUGUAUCUGUCAGCUCAGUCCUGACUGAUCUUCUGUCUGCAGGUUCUGUCAUUUGUUACUCUAUUAGAUCAUAUCCUAUUUCUAUGAUUUUCUGUUUUAAAGGACCUGAGAGGCCAUGGAGGCUCUGGCCAGCCUCCCCUUCCCUCUCCCACACACCAGUCCAGGCAGCUGGGUUAGUGCAGCUGGAGCCCAGCAAACUCCUGGUGCCUCCACUCGCACAUUCAGAGCUGCUGUUUCCUUCCCCUCAGCCCUGAGCGAUGCUCCAAGCGUGGCUGAGGCACACACAGCUCAUCUCAGCACAGCCACAAUCCCAUUACCCCGAGAUGCAUCAGUGUGCCGUGUUCAGGAUGAGAACAAACCAAAUCAUUUUGGUCUAGAAUGUGAAAUUUUGCUAAUUUUUCCAGGGCUUGAGCUCCAUCCCCGUGGAUGUCCCACCCUGUGCCCCAGGGCAAGUCCCCACACAGGAGAGUCACACACACUUUAAAAAACAAAUAUUAUUCUAAAAAAAUCCAUUCUUGGCAUUUUGUGGCUGUCCACAACGUGUCACUGAGUUCUGGGGCCCAGGAGCUCCGUGCCAGCCCAGCCCCCGGGGUGCUCCUCUCCUCUCCUCUCUCUGAGCCAUCCACCCCCAAACCUGCAUCACUGUGAAGGCACCAGAGAUUUUCCCUUCCCAACAAGUAAACCUUAUUUCCCUAAACCCUGGUGGACAGAUUCAGUGAGUCCCUUCCUCCUGCCUGUGAAAUGUCACCAUUUUCACUGAGAACAAGCGGCUGCAGGAGCUGGGAGGUCUGUGCUGGUGAUGUUGCCUAUGGAUGAGAUGGGAAACUUGAGGCUCAGAAACUGUGAGUCUGCAGAAUCCCCUACCAAUGUGGCUCUUUCAGUCGUUGAAAUAAAAUCUACACAGCUGUAAUUAGUCAAUAUUUGUAAAGCCUCUAAGAUUGCAGAAUAAAUGGCUGCGAGAAGUCCACAUGGUUAUUAGAUAAAUGCAUUAAUAACAGCAGCGGUGGCUGGUGAGGAGAAGCUGCUCCUAAUGAUGCACAAUUUAUUUCCUUGAGGGUGUGCUAAUAAACAAAUCUGGUUUUUAGAA
Parus major (Great Tit) is the source of this 2129-nucleotide long non-coding RNA. RefSeq lists it as uncharacterized. Lineage: Eukaryota; Metazoa; Chordata; Aves; Passeriformes; Paridae. The record is from RefSeq and is a predicted model, not a curated record. The transcript has 2 exons.